AUGAACGCUAGCGGCAGGCUUAACACAUGCAAGUCGAGGGGCAGCAGGCUGUAGCAAUACGGUGCUGGCGACCGGCGCAAGGGUGCGUAACGCGUGAGCAAUCUGCCCGUAUCAGGGGGAUAAGCGAUGGAAACGUCGUCUAAUACCGCAUAACACCGUUCGUGGCAUCACGGAUGGUUGAAAGCUUCGGUGGAUACGGAUGAGCUCGCGAGACAUUAGUUAGUUGGCGGGGUAACGGCCCACCAAGACCGCGAUGUCUAGGGGAACUGAGAGGUUGGUCCCCCACACUGGAACUGAGACACGGUCCAGACUCCUACGGGAGGCAGCAGUGAGGAAUAUUGGACAAUGGAGGGAACUCUGAUCCAGCCAUGCCGCGUGCAGGAAUAAGGUCCUAUGGAUUGUAAACUGCUUUUGAGAGGGAGCAAUAAGGUGUACGUGUACACCGAUGAGAGUACCUUUCGAAUAAGCAUCGGCUAACUCCGUGCC
Molecule: ribosomal RNA, 486 nt
Filed under: uncultured bacterium
Lineage: Bacteria
Description: bacterial SSU rRNA
Rfam family: Bacterial small subunit ribosomal RNA
Source: RNAcentral